RNAcentral lists this transfer RNA (76 nucleotides) under Desulfovibrio desulfuricans. Its description in RNAcentral is "tRNA-Thr". It matches the Rfam family "tRNA". From Rfam's summary of the family: Transfer RNA (tRNA) molecules are approximately 80 nucleotides in length. Lineage: Bacteria; Pseudomonadati; Thermodesulfobacteriota; Desulfovibrionia; Desulfovibrionales; Desulfovibrionaceae. RNAcentral also lists the same sequence under 2 other names. The record is from RNAcentral.
GCCAGCCUAGCUCAUUCGGUAGAGCAGCUGAUUCGUAAUCAGCAGGUGAAGAGUUCGAUUCUCUUGGCUGGCUCCA